Molecule: long non-coding RNA, 859 nt
Filed under: Chinchilla lanigera (long-tailed chinchilla)
Lineage: Eukaryota; Metazoa; Chordata; Mammalia; Rodentia; Chinchillidae
Description: lncRNA (ENSCLAG00000027503.1)
Source: RNAcentral
CGCGGGCGGCGGGGCGGGCGCAGAAGUUUCUAGAGCGGGUGACCCGGUGGGGGCCGGGUGCUCGGCGCGCUCUGAGCGCCCGGCUCCUCCCGCCCACCGGCUGCCCGCUCCCCGGCUCCGGCACCCUGCGGCCUCUGGCACCGCUGCCCUUCUCCCCGCUCUCGACAGCGCCUCCCUCCGCUUCCCGCUGGCCGGACAAUUCUAGAUCCUUCUGGAUCGCGGGCCCCCGCCGCCGUCCGCGCCCCACCUGCGCAGCGCCCGCCGCGGCCGGGCGGAGACGGGCACAUUUUAAAGGGACCUUCGCGGAGGUGGGCGUGGCGGCGAGCCUGUAAUCCCAGCACUUCGGGAGGCUGAGACAGGACACUCGCAAAUUCCUGCCAAGCUUGGACAGCUUAGUGAUUCAGCGGGGCGAGAUCCUGUCUCAAAAAAAAAAAAAAGGGGGUUUCAGAUGUAGUUCUGUGGGACGGUCCUGGGUUCAGUCCCCCACCCCCGCAACUAUAAAUGAUUGUUUUGGGUAAUAAAGCACAAAAUGGUUCAAUGUAAAAAAAAGUCAUCCCAUUUUACUAAAGACUCAUAGGAAGCGCUUUUGUCAAUGUCUGGCCCCAACAGUUUACGGACUGUGGAGUUUGUUGUAGGUUGAAACCCUGUGGUACAUAAUUAAUCAAACAGUGGGGGUCCCCAUCAUGCUUAGUGCUUCACCCCUGUUAACACAGUGCCACAUGCAUAGUGUUUAUUUUAAAGAGAAAAAAACAAAAACAAUACACAAUUUCAAAACAAGAUAAUAGGAGAUUAACAAUAGUUAAUAUAUUACGUGUUGUUAUCUUCAGAGUAGCUGCUCAGAUUGCAAGAUAUAGGCAUG